This 301-nucleotide ribosomal RNA is filed under the name uncultured bacterium. Its description in RNAcentral is "partial 16S ribosomal RNA". It matches the Rfam family "Bacterial small subunit ribosomal RNA", at positions 509 to 807 of the family's 1533-position model. The record is from RNAcentral.
CAGUCGCCGCGGUAAUACGAAGGGUGCAAGCGUUACUCGGAAUUACUGGGCGUAAAGCGUGCGUAGGUGGUGGUUUAAGUCCGUUGUGAAAGCCCUGGGCUCAACCUGGGAAUUGCAGUGGAUACUGGGUCACUAGAGUGUGGUAGAGGAUAGUGGAAUUUCCGGUGUAGCAGUGAAAUGCGUAGAGAUCGGAAGGAACAUCUGUGGCGAAGGCGACUAUCUGGGCCAACACUGACACUGAGGCACGAAAGCGUGGGGAGCAAAUAGGAUUAGAUACCCCGGUAGUCCCUGUCUCUUAGAC